This 429-nucleotide ribosomal RNA is filed under the name Actinomycetes bacterium. Its description in RNAcentral is "Actinobacteria bacterium partial 16S ribosomal RNA". It matches the Rfam family "Bacterial small subunit ribosomal RNA", at positions 355 to 776 of the family's 1533-position model. Lineage: Bacteria; Bacillati; Actinomycetota; Actinomycetes. The record is from RNAcentral.
UAGGGAAUCUUCCGCAAUGGGCGAAAGCCUGACGGAGCAACGCCGCGUGAGUGAUGAAGGUCUUCGGAUCGUAAAAUUCUGUUAUUAGGGAAGAACAAAUGUGUAAGUAACUAUGCACGUCUUGACGGUACCUAAUCAGAAAGCCACGGCUAACUACGUGCCAGCAGCCGCGGUAAUACGUAGGUGGCAAGCGUUAUCCGGAAUUAUUGGGCGUAAAGCGCGCGUAGGCGGUUUUUUAAGUCUGAUGUGAAAGCCCACGGCUCAACCGUGGAGGGUCAUUGGAAACUGGAAAACUUGAGUGCAGAAGAGGAAAGUGGAAUUCCAUGUGUAGCAGUGAAAUGCGCAGAGAUAUGGAGGAACACCAGUGGCGAAGGCGACUUUCUGGUCUGUAACUGACGCUGAUGUGCGAAAGCGUGGGGAUCAAACAGG